This is a long non-coding RNA of Esox lucius (northern pike), 1955 nucleotides long. The record is from Ensembl. Lineage: Eukaryota; Metazoa; Chordata; Actinopteri; Esociformes; Esocidae.
GCGUCAUGCUGGCAACAUUAAAGAUUCCGUAGGCACUAAACAGCAUUCGAACAGCACAAGGACAACUCAAGCAGGCAGCAGUUACUCAGUGGUCUGAGGAGGGAUAAACCACAAACCGGUGUCAGGGUGUUGGGCGCCCAAGGCUCAUCGACGAACGAGGACGAACGAAGACCAUCUUGUCUGGUCUGAACCGACAGAAGGUCUACUGGGGCACAAGUCAGAACAUUUGAAUGAUGGUUACGGGAGGAUUGUGCCACCCUGCUGCGUAUGGGGCUGCAUAGCCGCAGACAGGUCAGAGGGCCCAAAAUGACCCCUGUGACCACCGUUGAAAGUGCCUACAAGGGGACCGCGAGUGUCGGCACUGGACCUUGGAGCUGUGGAAGACGGUCACCUGGUCCGACGAGUCCCGUUUUCUACGUGUGCUGUUUACUUGGGGAAGUGAUGGCACCAGGGAUGCACUGUGGGAAGAGAACAAGCCGGUGAAGUGAGUGUGACUCGCUGGGCAAUGUUCUGUUUGAAAACCUCUGGUCCGGGCAUUCAUGUAAAGGUCAAUCUGACACGUUCCACCUACGUAAACGUUGUUGCACACCAGGUACCCCACUUCAUUGCCAUGGUAUUCCCUGAAGGCAGUGGCCUCUUUCAGCAGGAUAAUGCGCCCUGCCAUACUGCACACAUUGUUCGGGAAUGGUUUGAGGAACAUGAUGAAGAGUUCAGGGUGUUGCGCUGGCCAAAUUCCCCGGGUCACAAUCCGCUCGAGCAUCCGUGGCAUGUGCUGGACCAACAGGUCCGAUCCACAGCGGCCCCACCUCACAAGUUACAGGACUGGAAGGAUCCGCUGCUAAUGACUUGUUGCCAGAUACCACCUUCAGGGGUCUUGUAGAGUCCAUGCCUUAGCGGGUCAGUUAUCAUGGAUUAUUUUCCACAGGACUGGGCUACUAAUGUAUAGAUGUGUGAUGUGGACUAAGUCUAAAACCUGCUUUCAUAUAGUGUAUAGAUAAUAGGAACCAUGGCGAUGCUGGCCCUGUCCAAAGUUAAUCCAAUAUAGGGCGAACCACGCAGGAACUUGUCCCAUCCACUUUGCCUAGCAACAGACAAUGCAGACUAUAGCCCUCGCAUUUCACAGGAGCUCCAUGCGGCUGGAAAAGCUUCAUUAAGGGACUCAAAUGUUCUCAUUGACAUAAUGCCAGAUUAUUUGAUUUAUGAUGUGAACUACGCAAUGGGCGAAGAUGCCAUGGACUCAACCCUCGUAACAGAACAGGAGAUAGAAUACCCCAGAGGAAGCAACCGUGGUUUGUCAAACCUGUGCUCUGACGUUUUAAUGUAUGAUACAGCCCAAUGCCAGACUACAUUCAAUCUUAGGCAUGCUGAAGUGAUUCAGUAAAGAUCUGCAGAUUAUUCUCCAAAAAUAGUGAUCUGUGGAAAGCUGUCCCUCUGUCAGGUUGCGUCCUAUAGGUAUUUGAACAGCAUGGACUAGUACAGAGAGAUUUGUGGGAGGAUGUCCAUGUAAUUCUUUGUAGGUUAGCAGUAAAACCUUGAAAUGAAUGACUGGGGUGACUGAAAACGACAACAACCCAAAGUACACCGCAAAGACAAUGCUGGAUUGGCGUAGGUACAAGUCUGUAAAUGUCCUUGAGUGGCCCAGCCAGAGCUCAGUCAGGAACCCAAUCAAACACCUCCGGAGAGACCUGAAAAUGGCUGUGCGGCGACAUUCUCCAUCCAACCUGAUAGAGCUUGAGAGGCUCUGCUGAGAAGAAUUGGAGAAACCCAAAUGCAGGUAGGCCUCACAACCAAGAAGACUCAAAGCCGUAAUCACUGACAAAUGUGCAUCAACAAAGUAACGAGUAAAGGAGUUUGAGUACCUGAUUCGUGAUAUUUCUGUAAAAACUUGUGGUUGCUUUGUCAUUACGGGGUAUUGUAUAGAUUGAUAAGGCGAUUAAAAAACAAUUGAAUCUAUU